AUUUUUUUAGGUUUUGAUUUUA
This 22-nucleotide microRNA is filed under the name Sphenodon punctatus (tuatara). RNAcentral's name for it is "Spt-Mir-737_5p (mature (guide))". Lineage: Eukaryota; Metazoa; Chordata; Lepidosauria; Sphenodontia; Sphenodontidae. The record is from RNAcentral.